UUUUUUUUUUCUUUUUUUCUUUUUUUUUUGCUCCCCUCCCUUCCCUUAUCGUGUCUCAAGGUAGUUGCAUACCUAGUCUGGAGUUGUGAUUCCCCAUCCCCCCACCCCCCCACCCCUCCCCAAAUGUGUUUUUGUAAUUACUAUUUCUUUUUCCUGAAAUUCGUGAUUGCAACAAAGGCGGAGGGGACAGGGCGGGGGAGGGGAGGGAGGACCCGCUCCGGAAGGCGCUGUUUGAAGCCUGUCGGUCUUUGAAGUCUGGAAGACGUCUGCAGAGGACCUUUUGGCAGCACAACCGUUACGCUAGGGAGUUGGUUGGAGAUUCCUUUUUUUUUUUUUUUUUCCCUUAAGAGAUCUUAAAGAACUGGUGAUUUUUUUUAAAAAAACAAACAAACACAAAAACAAAAAAGGGACCAUUGCAACUUUUUUUAUUUUAUUUUAUUUUUUUGGAGGGAGAAAACUGAUGUCUUCUAUGCAUCCGAUUCUUAACAAAACUGCAGGGAGCUUGAAAAAAUGCAGACUGUACAAACGCUCACAAAAAAAAAAAAAAAAAACUGUGAACUGACUUAAGAUCAGAGUUUACUUUUCAGAUCAAAUUGUUUAUGGUUUUACAAAUGUGAUUUCUACUUGCCAACUUUUUUUUUGUAACUUGUUCCCUUAUACCUCCUUGAUUGAAUACCAGACAGCCUAGACCUCAGUACAAAAGGUAUUGAAACAUUUUUGAUACAUAACAGACCUCAGUCUUUUUUAAAAAUUAAUAUAUUUUCAGGCGUAUUUUUGUACAGUGAAAAGGGAACAUUCUUGCUGUGUUUUUUCAGUAAGACUUUCAGGCACUUCUUCCCUUUUGAUUUCUUUUUUUCCUCUGUUUUUUUUAGCAUGCAAGUAUGUUGGUACGUGAUGUCCUGGUUUAAAAAGGAUUAAAAUUUUUAAAUAAUCCUUGCAUCUAAAGGCCUUGUGGUUUAAAAAAAAAAAAGCAAACUUUUUUUUGUACAGCUAUAGUAGAGAUUUGUUCAAUAUUUGUAGGUAAAGAUUUAUUGAAAAUGGUGAUAUAGACCUCAGAGCUGUUAUCUUAGUUUAAAGAUUGUAUAUGUACUGUACUAUACUAGGACUUUAUGUAUCUCAUACGCUGUGAUAUGUGGAUGGGGCCCCAGAUGGAAGGUUUGAAACUGGAUUCUCGAUUUUUAGCAAAAAAAAAAAAAAAAAAAAAAAAAAAAA
Molecule: long non-coding RNA, 1212 nt
Filed under: Canis lupus familiaris (dog)
Lineage: Eukaryota; Metazoa; Chordata; Mammalia; Carnivora; Canidae
Description: lncRNA (ENSCAFG00845022230.1)
Source: RNAcentral